GCAAUAAAUUUUGAUCAUGAGCUACCUGCUUAUUCUCUCUUGUAAUAGUAGUAAAACUUAACCAAAGGUCUAGAAUGUGAAAAGCAAGAUUACUUAAAGAAUGAUUUUCUGUUUUCUUGCAAAAUCCAAGAUCAUGGUUCUUAUACAUUUAGUGAAGACACGUAUGUAAACGUAGAUUAUGAUGGUCUGCCAAUAUUUUGAGACGUUUAUGUGAUCUAUUAUAAAUUGGAAAAAACCCAUCAGUUUGUUUAUGUAGAUGUUUAGGGGUUGUAGUGUUGAGGCAAAUGUUUUUGAACUUUUUUUUUGGUGUUUGGUUGAGAAAAUAAGGAAGAUAUUUUUCAUUAAAUGGAGGAAAAUUACUUCUCUCACUUAUGGGUGGAUGCUGUUUCCUUAUAGCAACUGUUUAGAGCUUCAUGUUACUAAUACUUAGAUAUUAUUACUAUUAAUCUUUGGUAAUUGAUACUCAAAUUUCAUCAGAACAUUCUCCCAGGACCUAGAUGCCAAUAAUACGAUUAAUUUGACGGAAAAGGGCCAAAUAUACCCCUAUACUAUCGGAAAAGGUUUAAAUAUAUCUUUCGUUAUACUUUGAGUCCAAAUAUACCCCUAUCGUUAUACUAUUGGUUCAAAUAUACACCUUUUUUGUUAAGUUUGUCCAAAGUGGACAUCAGUCCUACGUGACACAGAUAUUGAUGAGAUGGAUGCCAUAUGGCUUGCCACCUCAGCGUCCCUAACCCAUUUGCCCCUCCUUUUUUUUUUCCGCCACUAAAAUUUUCUUCUCCUCCACCACCAUUAUUGCUACCAUGAAAAAUAUUCUAUUUCAAAUUUUAAUCUUUUAUAUAUGGAUUAGGGGCGUUGAGGUGGCAUAGAUGGUACUGAAUCGUUUCGAAAACACGGAUAUAGCAAAACACGCAGAAUAAAAGAUAAGAGCUAGACCUAGAAUUGAUUGGAAGAACAAAAACCAAUUAGGUAUGAAACCUAAGUACCUCUAGACCUACAAUUGAUUGGAAGAACAAGAGCCAAUUAGGAUAUGAAGUCUAAUUACCUCUAUGAACUCAAUCAAUUGUAACCCUAAGCUAUGAAGUCCUCAAGAGAUUGACAACUCUUGGAAACCCGGAUAAAGUAAUUAAGCAAUUAAGUAUUCACAACUAAUUGCUCGCCAACUAAAACUAAUUUAGCACUAAUGAAAGCAAUAGAGAAAUUAAAGGCAUAAACAUAAAUGCAUUAAUUAAAAGAUAAGGAUAAAGGUGAGACUUGCACGUCUUAAAGCUUAUCAUUCAUCAAGUCUACCUAAAAUAAAAGCCUUAAGGGCUAUUUAUACUAGAGUGGGCAUUUGGCUACAAAUGAUCCAAAUGCCACCUCAACGCCCCUAAUCCAUUUGCACUCCAGUUUCUGCCCAGAAAUUGCAGCUGAACAAAAGGCAAAAGCUGCAGUUUUGGACCAACUUUUUGAACCCAAAUUUGAGCAGUGUUUGACAGCAGGAAUUGCAUCAGUUUGGAGCAGUGUUUGACAACAAGGACCUGCACACUUUUGAGUGCCAUUUGUACACUGUUCAGCAGCAAAUUCUACUCUGUUUCUCCUCUGUUUGAGCUGCUGAAACUGCAAUUUUUGGACUAGCAUUGGAGCUAAGAACAUGUAGUAAAUCUGCCCUGUUUCUGCACAGCUCUGCUGAUCUUGACUGCUGAUAGUUAACUGCACUAUUAGUUACACUUCCGGGAGUUGUUUUACUGGCUCGGAGUGCAUUUUUUUUUUUCGUGAGUCCAAGCUAAGCUUCUGAGUCUAAAUACCUGAGGGAAGUAUGUUCUGAAGUGUAGAUAAUUUCUCUAGAAUUUGGGGCUGAAGUUUGGUGACUGAUUCUGCAGAUUCUACACAACUGGUUGCUAACAACCUGCAACUCUGUCAGCUAUUGUGAUUCUAUCCAGCAUUACAGUUUUGGCCAUUCUUUGCAAAUCUGGCCAGUUUUGCAAAAUAGCCUAUUUUUGUUAGUGAUAGGGAUACCAAGUUUGUUAGUUACUUUUGGAAAGGCCUUUGGAGUAAACUUGGCACACAUUUGAACUUCUCUACUUCUUGCCACUCCCAAACCGAUGGCCAAACCGAAGUGGUCAAUAGGACCUUAUGGAACAUGCUUAGGGCCAUGGUCAAGGGGAAGCUUACUUCUUGGGAGGAGCAUUUACCUUGAUUGAGUUUGCAUAUAAUCGUUCUUAUCAUUCUUCUAUUGGCAUGACUCCUUUUGAAUGUGUGUAUGGUUUUAAUCCCCUCACCCCUUUAGAUCUAACUUCUUUGUCUCAAGAUAUGAUUGUUAGUUUAGAUGCCAAGAAAAGGGCCGAGGCUAUGAAGAAGAUUCAUGAGAAGGCAAGACAUCAACUGGAGAAAAUGAAUGACAAAGCGGCUUUUAGGACUAUGGGGUUCAUAAGAUUCGGAAGUACACAAAUGUCGGGUAUAUUAAUCAUUGCUGGCCAUUCUUGCUGCGGUUCUUCUAUAGAAUACCCAAUAGUGCUAUACUGUGAUCGCUUUCACAAUUAAUUGCCUAAAGCUCAUACAAUGCAUUGGUUGGUCGAUGGUGGUUACUUCAUUCGUUUGUAAGAUAUUCAGGAACUUUACAUUUCCUCCAUGAUAAAUGAUUCUAUAUUUUAAGAACUGCUGGCUAACUCUAAGAUUCAUUCUUUUCUAACAGGAAAAAUCUCUGGAGAUGUUAUUUCUUUACAUAUAUAAUCCUAUCACUUCUUGUGCCUCCCCUUUCAUUAUCUCUUAGUUCAAUUUAUGUUGCUAGCAGAUAAGCAAAUACUUAAAAGAAGGCCGAGGCUUUGUUGCUAUUUUUCUUUGUUCCCGCUAUCUGUUCCUAUAAUGUAAAGUGUAAUCUGAACUUAUUUACUUGUUGUAGACUAACAACUAGAUGAUCUUGAACACCUCCCUCAAGAAGGUAAUAUUUUUGUUAAAA
Long non-coding RNA from Nicotiana attenuata, 2935 nucleotides. RefSeq lists it as uncharacterized. NCBI's taxonomy places the organism in Eukaryota, Viridiplantae, Streptophyta, Magnoliopsida, Solanales, Solanaceae. The record is from RefSeq and is a predicted model, not a curated record. The transcript has 2 exons.